GCAAUAUACACUUUGGUUGGUUGGCAUAAAACGAAAUCAACAGCAAUGGCGAGUGGGUGUGUGCGUGUAUGUUUUGRCUGAAAUUUACAGCACUUGCAAAAUGACAUCAUAUAACAGUUGCAAAUUGUUUUGGCAGCAAAUGAAAAAUAUAUAAAAA
This is a long non-coding RNA of Drosophila arizonae, 157 nucleotides long. NCBI's taxonomy places the organism in Eukaryota, Metazoa, Arthropoda, Insecta, Diptera, Drosophilidae. The record is from RefSeq and is a predicted model, not a curated record.